RNAcentral lists this ribosomal RNA (417 nucleotides) under uncultured bacterium. RNAcentral's name for it is "bacterial SSU rRNA". It matches the Rfam family "Bacterial small subunit ribosomal RNA", at positions 506 to 921 of the family's 1533-position model. The record is from RNAcentral.
CGCCAGCAGCCGCGGUAAUACGUAGGUGGCAAGCGUUGUCCGGAUUUACUGGGCGUAAAGAAUGCGUAGGCGGAUAUUUAAGUCAGAUGUGAAAUCCCCGGGCUUAACUUGGGGGCUGCAUUUGAAACUGGAUAUCUAGAGUGCGGGAGAGGUAAGUGGAAUUCCUAGUGUAGCGGUGAAAUGCGUAGAGAUUAGGAAGAACACCAGUGGCGAAGGCGACUUACUGGACCGUAACUGACGCUGAGGCAUGAAAGCGUGGGGAGCAAACAGGAUUAGAUACCCUGGUAGUCCACGCCGUAAACGAUGGGUACUAGGUGUAGGAGGUAUCGACUCCUUCUGUGCCGCAGUUAACACAAUAAGUACCCCGCCUGGGGAGUACGGUCGCAAGAUUAAAACUUAAAGGAAUUGGCGGGGGAC